Molecule: ribosomal RNA, 322 nt
Filed under: Nucleocercomonas sp.
Lineage: Eukaryota; Cercozoa; Cercomonadida; Cercomonadidae
Description: SSU rRNA
Rfam family: Eukaryotic small subunit ribosomal RNA (bases 102-322)
Source: RNAcentral
GAUUUCUGGUACGGUGCGCCUGGUCCACGGCAGCAAUGUCGUGAGUGCCGGAGUGCGUCUGCCAUCCUUGUAGAGAACUGCACUGCCCUUAACUGGGUCGGUGCAGCCAUCUACAUCGUUUACUUUGAAAAAAUUAGAGUGUUUCAAGCAGGCUUUAUGCUAUGAAUACAUUAGCAUGGAAUAAUAAUUUAGGACUUCGGUUCUAUUUUGUUGGUUUCUAGGACUGAAGUAAUGAUUGAUAGGGAUAGUUGGGGGUGCUAGUAUUCAGCGGCCAGAGGUGAAAUUCUCGGAUUCGCUGAAGACUAACUUAUGCGAAAGCAUU